AAGCGAAACGCCCCCGGUCGGGGGCGUCUGCCGGGCGUGGUGGCCCGGUACUGAUGAGCAGCCACCU
Molecule: non-coding RNA, 67 nt
Filed under: Modicisalibacter sp. MOD 31.J
Lineage: Bacteria; Pseudomonadati; Pseudomonadota; Gammaproteobacteria; Oceanospirillales; Halomonadaceae
Source: RNAcentral